GCGGAUGUAGCUCAGUUGGGAGAGCGACACCUUGCCAAGGUGUAGGUCGCCGGUUCGAGCCCGGUCAUCCGCU
This 73-nucleotide transfer RNA is filed under the name bacterium. RNAcentral's name for it is "tRNA-Gly". It matches the Rfam family "tRNA". From Rfam's summary of the family: Transfer RNA (tRNA) molecules are approximately 80 nucleotides in length. Their secondary structure includes four short double-helical elements and three loops (D, anti-codon, and T loops). The record is from RNAcentral.